UGGGGAAUAUUGCACAAUGGGCGGAAGCCUGAUGCAGCAACGCCGCGUGCGGGAUGACGGCCUUCGGGUUGUAAACCGCUUUCGCCUGUGACGAAGCGUGAGUGACGGUAAUGGGUAAAGAAGCACCGGCUAACUACGUGCCAGCAGCCGCGGUGAUACGUAGGGUGCGAGCGUUGUCCGGAUUUAUUGGGCGUAAAGGGCUCGUAGGUGGUUGAUCGCGUCGGAAGUGUAAUCUUGGGGCUUAACCCUGAGCGUGCUUUCGAUACGGGUUGACUUGAGGAAGGUAGGGGAGAAUGGAAUUCCUGGUGGAGCGGUGGAAUGCGCAGAUAUCAGGAGGAACACCAGUGGCGAAGGCAGGUCUCUGGGCUGUAACUGACGCUGAGAAGCGAAAGCAUGGGGAGCGAACAGGAUUAGAUACCCUGGUAGUCCAUGCCGUAAACGUUGGGCACUAGGUGUGGGGGACAUUCCACGUUUUCCGCGCCGUAGCUAACGCAUUAAGUGCCCCGCCUGGGGAGUACGGCCGCAAGGCUA
RNAcentral lists this ribosomal RNA (531 nucleotides) under uncultured bacterium. RNAcentral's name for it is "bacterial SSU rRNA". It matches the Rfam family "Bacterial small subunit ribosomal RNA", at positions 355 to 896 of the family's 1533-position model. The record is from RNAcentral.